AAGGUCAUUGUCAUUGUUUGGGUUAGCAAAGUCAAGGGUAUCUCUUUAGAAACUGAAAGCCUUGGAAGGCACUCCUAUAUUGAGAGAACCAAGAAGGGUAGAUUAAACUGAUGUCUGUGCGUUGGUUUUUUCUCCCUAAUCAUGCACAAAUGAGGUACAGGAGCAAUGCUUGCUUUUCGAUUUCUGGAAAAUUUCGAAACAGGUGCAUGUAGAGUCGUUAUCCUCCUUCCCUUUGUGAGGAUUUGAGGCUAGAGCGAGAGUUGUUGUUGUUGUGAUUAGUGAGCGAGAGAGAAGAUAGAGAGUUGAAUAAGAUAUAUUGGUUGGAUAGGUAGCAGAAGAGGCAAUAAAGUUAAAUAGGGGGAAAUUGAAAGAGUAGAGGAACUGCAAUAUUGUCAGUACUUGUUAUCGUUCCUGCCUGUUUCGUUACAUCUUCCUUGAAAUGACCUUUCCCAGAUUCUCUUUUUGGAUCCGCCCCUGCUACAAACGUGUUGUUAAGGUCACUACAGAAAAUGGCAAGUUUAAGCCGAGCAAAUUCUUGCCAAGGCCUAUUUCUUAAGUAACCUGUGUCGCUGGGGAUAUAGAAAGCGCGGAACAUUUUUUAACUUUAGUUAUAAUUGGCCAUAUAAAAACACAGCGGAAUAUUACUUUAUUUUGGUCGGCUACUGAAAUUUCAAAUUAUGAAGGAAUUCAACAUAUCUACGGGAAGCUCUUACAAGAUUUCGUAUUUUCAAUUGCUGAUUUGUGUGGUGAAAUCCUUGAUAGGCAUACGAAAUUGCACAAACAAACGUUGUUUAAGCAAAUAGUUAAAGCACCCAAGAUAAAAGAAAUACACAACAAAGCAAGGAUCAGAGCAUGUUUAGAAAUGAAACGACCGGUCGAAUAAAUAUUCAGAGUUUAAGCCCGUGCGGUCGUUUCUACUUUUAGAAAAAACUGGCGACUAAAAGAUUAAAGAUCUUGAGACUUUUGUUCCUCUGAAACUAAACGAACUAUGACAGCAAAUGAUUCCGAAAAAUUUGACUUGCAUACAUGAAAACGAAAAACAAAAUACAAUGGAUCAAAAAUAAAGGAGGAGGCUCUCUGGGAACUUUAGCGAAGACCCGCGCAUGGGUACAUGCCUAACAUACCAACUUUUAAAUCGUUUGUUUUCAAGUGAUCAUUUGGUAGUAAAUGUAUUUCCAGGCUUCUAGAAGCAACUUGUGAAUAUAGCUUGUUUGGCAAUCUCCCUAAAUAAGAGACAGGCUUAUAGACAUCGAGAAAUGGUGGUUGGUAUUGCGUGCUCCAGGAAAAAGAACAGAGCCACAUAUAGCAGCAAUGAACUUUAUUUCAGGUUAACGAUUACCCUCUCUAGCAAGCAUAGACUAUUUGCUUCUUCUCUGAAUACUAAUAUUGCUAACUAUAGUAGAGCUUUCUGGUUUUCAAAAAACUUUUACGCGCCAAAUCUACUUGAUAAUAUGGACUUAGUAAUGAUUGCAAAGGGAUGAUAUGGUAUAAAUACUCAUAAUUACAAGCAGCUGAUCAGAAUGGCUCAACCCUUCAAGCUGAGCAACUGGUGUUAUUCUAGUUGUCACUGUUGAAAUAAUAUGGUCCUUGGAUGCAAGGGUCUUCGGAUAUUGGGAUUGCCUCAAUAUGACUGCAAGGUAGGCCUGGUUGAAAUACAUACACGAUUGUGGAGUAUGGAAUAGUAAGGGUGAACGCUUCAAACAAGUCAAAAACGCCAUUGACAUUCACAUCCGAAAGAAAGCAAAGAGGGAACCCUUUGCAGCCAGAGAGCAAAACACUCAAAUUUUGGCUUAGAAGACGUCAUUAAUUCGAAAUGACUGGCAACCAGCAGAAAAAUCUAACCUUUUGUUGACACCUGGCCUACUAUGAACAAAUCGUGCAAGAGAAGGGGUUUGGCAAAACUAUAUGGCAGUAAUGUAAUUUAAAGGCGAAUGAGGAAGGCUACUGGACCACACGUACACAAAAUAGAACAGAUCUAGUUAUUUACCAUAAUAGAAAAGGUUGGUAGAAUAACAGGCAGAGCAAGGCUGGCUGAAAGAGAACGAUUCAUUGCAUUUUUGAAAGGGCAUUAGCUUCGUAGGAGUUGUGUUGUUUUACGAAAUCGGAUUGUGGUGUGUAUUUUACGAUCACUGUUCAGGAAAGCUUUCUUUACAAAAACCAACAAUGCCUGGACAACUGCCGUGCAAAUCUCAGCCUAAACCGACUAAAAACAACAUGAGGAAAUCAUUCACAGCAUACGGACACCAGAAAAAUAAAAAACUUGGGAGAAAGAUAAUGAAUCCGCACGUGCAGUUCUAGUAAAAGCUGGGAGUAGUGGAUUUGUGCGGAAGUAGCUAACUGCGUAAAAAGGUUGUAUUGAACCACGCCCUAAUGAAAAACAAUCUAUUACUUUAAUUGAAAAUUAAUAAACCAAAGACAAACAUGAUUCAUAGAAAAACACUACGUUUUAUUAUCGAUUCAGAGAGAUCAUUGAGAAAAUCAACUGUGUUUUUAUCUAUUCUGGUGUCGUCCUAUUUUGGUACAGGUCCUUUGCUUCAGUGUCUCCUUCCUAGGGGUCUUCAGAAGGACAGAAAAAAACAAACAAGGGAAUAUUUUGAGUUGUGAUCUAAAAGUUUGGGAUGGAAGUGGGCGCUGUGAAGAAGGGAAAUCGUUAUUUUUAGCUUAGCAUGUAAUUCUGUUGAGAGGAAUGAGGAUAAAUAUAAAAAGGAUAGCAAAAGCAUAACGACAGAAAAUGCCGCGUGGAUGACCAUUAAGAAAAAGAGGUUAAUGUCAUUAAAAUAUAUGCAUUGAAUCAGGUCAUAAUCAUAAUCAUAAUGAAGAAAGACAUCCCUAUCCAUAGUACGAAGUUGUGAAGUAGCUAACAAGAAAGAAAAAUAUGUUUGCUAAUGACGUCACAACCAACACAACAGAUUAGAAUACUCAAUGUAGUUUCUGGCUGUAUUUGAUGCAGUGACAAAGAUUUCUAGAAAGAUAACCAGAAAGCAGGAGUGAAAACAUACACACAAAAUAGGUAUUGAUAAGUAUAACAGAGAAAGAGGUAUUGAAAGGAAAUCCAAGAGUCACAGCACUACGAUGCUAAGAUUGUCAAGGGAUUCAAAAUGCAAGCACAAUGCACAAAGGAAUUACAUCGACAAGGGAAAUCAUUCUUGCUCCGUACUGGCUCAUAAAUAAGAUCAAGAUCAGAAGUGACAACAAAUACCACGUGAUAACCACGUGUAAUAACGUGUAAUAACCACGUGAUUACAUAACAGAAAUAACACAGGUUUGUUAGAAGAUUUCAAAACUAAGGAUUGUGAGAAUGCAGUCUAGGAUCAGAUUCAUAGUUCAAGUAACAUGGCGAUUUACAUCGUCUAGGACAUUUGCACCCGAAAUGAAAGAUAAUCUGUAGAAGGAAUCUAGAAAAUUCAAUUUUACUUCAAUGUUGCCUGGAAAACACGUCAACAGCUACUGGUUUGCGAUUAAAAUAUUGGAUUAUUUAUAAUCUUGUUCAACUAGGCUCCUCUUAAUGUCUAAAAAAUAGAAACAAGUCGAAACAUCGUGUUUUUAUCCCAAUAGCGUCACCGAUUAUGCCAAAAUUCAUCGUGUGUAUGGUUGAAGAAUGUAAACUGAAAAACUGGAAAGGAAAUAUGUUGGUAGGAUAAAAGACCAAAUAUCAUAUAAGAUUGAUAGCAGAUAUAAUGAGUUUAAUUUAAGAGCACACUUUUCUACCGCUAAAUGACAUCGCUUGUACACUCGGAUCGUUUUCUCCUAUGACAGAAACUACUUAAACAAUAACUGUCUAUAAGAAACACAAUUAAAUGAUUAGGUGUCUUAGACGAAGUAUGCAGUAAUUUAUUUGAUCACGUAUUUUUCAAGUUUAAAAAUCAUUUGUUAAGUACCACCACUUGAUUUAAACGGUGAAUUCUUAGAGUUGUUGAAGGAUGGAGCAUGGUGGGGUGUGGUUGCUCCCGUUCAGAUUGACGUAAUCAAAUAGGGUAUUAGGGACGUAUAAAGCAACAAAAAUGCAUAUAAUACACGUUUGGGGCUUCAAAGACGCAGGCUACGAUGAAAUGAAAAUAUCAAUCAUGGUUGAAAUUCUGAUAUAAAACUUUGGAUGAAAUGAAGCCGUUUCUUUGUAAAAUUCACCCCCAGAGCAUAAGGCAAAUGGUCCUAAACAGUCGCCAUUAUAAGCAGCGGAUCUGUUUUUACGGGCUUUUCAAAAGAAUUACAAAUAUGUGACCAUUUUCCCAUUCCAAGUAAUUUUUUUGCUUUAAAUGAUAGGUUGCCAAUAAAAACGGCUCUAAUUUAUCUGUUUAAAAAUAAACCGUAAAAGGGCUUUAAGAACGAAAGCGUUGCUAUGGAUCCGAAACUAUUUAAUCGGCUAAGCAGGGCAAAGAACACCCAUUUUACCUUCUUUAAAUUUUCAUCGAUUUUCCACAAUUUUAAGCCUCUUAGCGCCGUUCUUUCCACAUACAAUGUUUCAACUGAUGACGUAACUGUUGCUAUCGGAUACAAGAUGUUUAAAAAAAACAAAAAAUCUCUUUAGAAGCUCAUUUCAAUUUAUCAAGGGAUAAUAGGACAGAUUUUCAUGAUAGUUUACGCUGGAGGAGUAUCUUAGGUUGAACAGAGUUUUUGAUUUUGAAUACAAGGCCCGAAUUUAAGAGGCUUUGAUGCUUGCAUUUACUAUUUUGAAAACUUGGUCUACGUCAAAAAAUCUACAAAAAUCAACAAUUUUAUUCCAAAAAGAUCAAAAGGUCUUCCCGAUUCUCAAGAGAACACAUUUCGGCAAGUCUUAGCAUUCCAUUGGCACGCUGGAAAGUCUGGGAAAAAAGUUCACAAAGGGAAAACACGAUUCGAAAUCUAUAGAGAAUUGGUUCUUUAGAAAUAUUUUGGAGAACAAACACUCUCCUGGGAAUUUGUUUCGGACAAAAGGGAAUUUAGAUAAAAAUGUAGGCA
Non-coding RNA from Rhopilema esculentum, 4935 nucleotides. NCBI's taxonomy places the organism in Eukaryota, Metazoa, Cnidaria, Scyphozoa, Rhizostomeae, Rhizostomatidae. The record is from RefSeq and is a predicted model, not a curated record.